GUGACAGAAGAGAGUGAGCACACAUGGUGCUUUCUUGCAUAAUAGUGUAAUGCUUGAAGCUAUGCGUGCUCACUCUCUGUCUGUCAC
Non-coding RNA from Punica granatum (pomegranate), 87 nucleotides. The record is from Rfam. NCBI's taxonomy places the organism in Eukaryota, Viridiplantae, Streptophyta, Magnoliopsida, Myrtales, Lythraceae.